RNAcentral lists this ribosomal RNA (155 nucleotides) under uncultured bacterium. Its description in RNAcentral is "partial 16S ribosomal RNA". It matches the Rfam family "Bacterial small subunit ribosomal RNA", at positions 355 to 507 of the family's 1533-position model. The record is from RNAcentral.
UGAGGAAUAUUGGACAAUGGGCGCAAGCCUGAUCCAGCCAUGCCGCGUGCAGGAUGACGGUCCUAUGGAUUGUAAACUGCUUUUGCACAGGAAGAAACACCCCUACGUGUAGGGUCUUGACGGUACUGUGAGAAUAAGGAUCGGCUAACUCCGUG